UUCCAGACUCCUACGGGAGGCAGCAGUGGGGGAUAUUGCACAAUGGGGGAAACCCUGAUGCAGCGACGCCGCGUGGGUGAAGAAGCGCCUCGGCGCGUAAAGCCCUGUCAGCAGGGAAGAAAAUGACGGUACCUGAAGAAGAAGCCCCGGCUAACUACGUGCCAGCAGCCGCGGUAAUACGUAGGGGGCAAGCGUUAUCCGGAUUUACUGGGUGUAAAGGGGGCGCAGACGGCGAUGCAAGCCAGGAGUGAAAGCCCGGGGCUCAACCCCGGGACUGCAUUGGGAACUGCCCCGCUCGAGUGCCGGAGGGGCAGGCGGAAUUCCCAGUGUAGCGGUGAAAUGCGUAGAUAUUAGGAGGAACACCAGUGGCGAAGGCGGCCUGCUGGACGGUGUACUGACGCUGAGGCUCGAAAGCGUGGGGAGCAAACAGGAUUAGAUACCCCGGUAUG
RNAcentral lists this ribosomal RNA (449 nucleotides) under uncultured bacterium. Its description in RNAcentral is "partial 16S ribosomal RNA". It matches the Rfam family "Bacterial small subunit ribosomal RNA", at positions 329 to 793 of the family's 1533-position model. The record is from RNAcentral.